GACGAACGCUGGCGGCGUGCUUAACACAUGCAAGUCGAGCGGUAAGGCCCUUUCGGGGGUACACGAGCGGCGAACGGGUGAGUAACACGUGAGCAACCUGCCCUUCUCUUUGGAAUAAGCGUUGGAAACGACGUCUAAUGCCGAAUAUGACCCCCUGUCGCAUGGUGGGGGGUGGAAAGCUCUGGCGGAGAAGGAUGGGCUCGCGGCCUAUCAGCUUGUUGGUGUGGGUAAUGGCCCACCAAGGCGACGACGGGUAGCCGGCCUGAGAGGGUGACCGGCCACACUGGGACUGAGACACGGCCCAGACUCCUACGGGAGGCAGCAGUGGGGAAUAUUGGACAAUGGGCGAAAGCCUGAUCCAGCAACGCCGCGUGAGGGAUGACGGCCUUCGGGUUGUAAACCUCUUUCAGCAGGGACGAAGCGAGAGUGACGGUACCUGCAGAAGAAGGACCGGCCAACUACGUGCCAGCCGCCGCGGUAA
RNAcentral lists this ribosomal RNA (481 nucleotides) under uncultured bacterium. RNAcentral's name for it is "partial 16S ribosomal RNA". It matches the Rfam family "Bacterial small subunit ribosomal RNA", at positions 28 to 523 of the family's 1533-position model. The record is from RNAcentral.